CCUACGGGUGGCAGCAGUGGGGAAUAUUGCACAAUGGGGGAAACCCUGAUGCAGCGACGCCGCGUGAGUGAAGAAGUAAUUCGUUAUGUAAAGCUCUAUCAGCCGGGAAGAAAAUGACGGUACCUGAGUAAGAAGCCCCGGCUAACUACGUGCCAGCAGCCGCGGGAAUACGUAGGGGGCAAGCGUUAUCCGGAUUUACUGGGCGUAAAGGGGGCGUAGACGGCAGUGCAAGUCUGGAGUGAAAGGCUGGGGCUCAAACCCCGGACUGCUCUGGAAACUGUACGGCUGGAGUGCAGGAGAGGUAAGUGGAAUGCCCAGUGUAGCGGUGAAAUGCUUAGAUAUUAGGAGGAACACCAGUGGCGAAGGCGGCUUACCGGACUGGAACUGACGUUGAGGCUCGAAAGCGUGGGGAGCAAACAGGAUUAGAUACCCGUGUAGUC
RNAcentral lists this ribosomal RNA (440 nucleotides) under uncultured bacterium. RNAcentral describes it as "partial 16S ribosomal RNA". It matches the Rfam family "Bacterial small subunit ribosomal RNA", at positions 338 to 795 of the family's 1533-position model. The record is from RNAcentral.